CGGGGUGAGUAAUGUCUGGGAAACUGCCUGAUGGAGGGGGAUAACUACUGGAAACGGUAGCUAAUACCGCAUAACGUCGCAAGACCAAAGAGGGGGACCUUAGGGCCUCUUGCCAUCGGAUGUGCCCAGAUGGGAUUAGCUAGUAGGUGGGGUAACGGCUCACCUAGGCGACGAUCCCUAGCUGGUCUGAGAGGAUGAUCAGCCACACUGGGACUGAGACACGGCCCAG
Molecule: ribosomal RNA, 229 nt
Filed under: uncultured bacterium
Lineage: Bacteria
Description: partial 16S ribosomal RNA
Rfam family: Bacterial small subunit ribosomal RNA
Source: RNAcentral